GAUGGCAGGGCAUUCUCAGAGGUGGGCUUUAAAAGCCGUGUACAACGUGCAAUGGGAAAAAGUCCUUCCGAAUUUCUUCGGAAAGUGCAGUGGUCCAUUUUAUACAUGAAAGCGGCCCUCAGGCCCUUCACUAGAGGCAGGACAGCGCCCAAACUGAUGGACAGGCAGGGUCGGGGCAGCUUGAUUCCUCCCCUUCUCCCGAGGUCCUUAGGGGAGGUGGGGGCUGCGGCAAAUAUCAGAAUCUCUUCAGCCUCCGUUUCCCACUCUGUAAAAGGAGGGGGUGCCCAGAACCAACACUCAGGAUGGAUCCAAAGACAGAAGAAACAGCCCUCGUUUGUAAAAGAAUGGCAGAAACAAGACAUGAACAUGGGGACCUCCUAGUCUACAGGCUCUCCCUUUUUUCCAGCCAGCAUCCAGGCCUACACAUGAAAACCAGUGCUGAGGAAGGGAACCUGGGAAAGCAAGGGUUCGCCUCAGCUCGCCAUCUGUUAUAGUGAGGUUUUGUAAUUAAGAUUAAACAGAAGGGAUCACUAACUAUA
Long non-coding RNA from Monodelphis domestica (gray short-tailed opossum), 539 nucleotides. RefSeq lists it as uncharacterized. The record is from RefSeq and is a predicted model, not a curated record. NCBI's taxonomy places the organism in Eukaryota, Metazoa, Chordata, Mammalia, Didelphimorphia, Didelphidae.